UGGUAAGAGAACAUCUAGGUGAUGGACAAUGUUGCCAAUUAAAAUAUUUGCAGCUGCUUUGCUGUAUUAGGUUUCUUAGUUUCAUCUGUCUUCCAAAAUCUCAUUCAUUUCCAUUGCAUUAGUAAGUUGAUGUUUUCCUCUCAUUUGUUUGACCAGUAACUUGAAUGCUUAAUGUAGUCUGGGUGGAUUGGAGUAUAAUAUGCUUUUUCAUGAAGGGAGUUACUCAACCUUAACUUAGAAUUAGUUAUAUUAAUUUUUCUCCUUACACCUAGAGUUCAUGUCAUAGUUCAGUUUGUAUUUCCGCUGUUGCGGAAGAUCUUGGGCAUCACGGGAUAAUCUUGCUCGUGAGUAUCUUGAUGUGAUGAUUGAAAAGUUUGUUAUGCUAGCUUUUCCUUACUGUUGCUGUUCACAUGGAAUCUUGAAAGUAAAUUUGUUAUUUGUUCUGUUGCAGAUGAGCUUGUCCUGAAGGACAGAGGUUUGCCCAUAUCGAAGAGUUUAUCCUUGUUUUUGUCGUACUAAUUGCUUCAGACCUUCAUGUUCCUGGUUACCUUUUUUUUCCCAACUAGUUUUAUUCCUUCAUUAAUCUCUUAAUAAUUCUUUAUAUUUACUUCACCAGAAUAUUGUUUUGAUCAGGAAGGCAGAACAGAGCCUCACUUCUGCUGAUACCCUAGGAGACAAAGCAUGUUGGGAACAACAUGGAUGCUAUGUUGAUAAGUGGUUGUGCAGCUGAUAUGCUGUGCUAAGUUUCUUAUCUAUGUUCCAAAAUCUUAUUGAACCUCAUUAGUUCCUGUUGUACCAGUAACCUAGUGAUUUCCUCUCACUUGUUUGACCAGUACCAAGGUUUUAACUUUUAAAUACCAGUGGGACAGUGGGAACAUUGAGUGCUCAAGACAGUCUGGGUGGAUUCGAGCAUGAUAUGCAUUUUCCAUGAUGGAUGUGCCUCAACCUUGAUUGUAGAAUUUGUUCUAUUACAUUUCUUUCCCUCAUGCUUAGAGUACCUGUCAUAGGCUAGUUUGUUAUUUCUGAUGUUGUAGAAGAGCUUGUGCGAGAUUGGAUGCCUGAGGGCAUCUUUGAUUGAAUGAUGGAAGACAGUUUGGAGGAAACAGAUUAUAAUGAUAUAUAUGCUUUUGGUGGAGGGUGUUCCUCAACCUUUAUUAUGGAAUUGAUAUUAUUUCCCAUUUGUUCUUAAACUGAGAUCACGUCAUAGGAUUGUUAUUUCUGAUGUCACAGAAGAGCUUGCACAACAUCAGGUUAUCUUGCUUAAGGGCAUCUUUGCCUGAUAAUAAAGACAGUCUGAAGGAAAUGGAUCAUCAUGAUAUGAUUUUUUUUUAUGAAGGGGGUUUUUCAUCUUUGAUAGCGGAGGUAUUAUACUGCUUUUUCCUACACUAGCUGUUCUUGGGGAAUGAAAGUUACCUGUAUGGUUUGUGUUGUUGCAGUAACUUGUACUGCAGAUUGUGAUUUUGCACAUGUGGAAGGGUUUGUCCGUAUUUAUAGUUGGCCAUUUUCAACAUUAAUUGAUAAUUUGUUAAUCUUUGUUCUAAGCACUUACAGGUAACUGGGAUUAAGAAAGGGUUUUUCAUGAUGGUGCUUUCUUGCUUCCACAAAUUCUUUAGGAGUCAAAACAUGUUGGAAAUAACAUUUAUACUAUGUUGAUAAGUAGUUUUGUAGCUGAUAUGCUGUAUGAAUUUUUUUAGUUUCAUCUUUUUUCCAUGAUCUCAUUCAUCCCUGUUGCAUUAGUGACCUGGCGAGCUUCUCUCAUUUGUUUGACUUCCUUGAGCGCUUGAGAGAUUUUGGGUGAAUGAGAGAAGGUAUGGUUUUAUUAUGGAGGGGGUUCCUCAACCUUGUUAAUUUGUUAUUUCCGGCAUUGCAGAGGAGCUUGUUUUUUGCGGGCCAUCUUGCUCAAAGGUAUCCUUGAUCUGAUAAUGGAAAAUAGUUUAGAGGAAUGAAGUGAUGAAGGGUGUUUGUCAUUUUUGAUGGUGGAGUAAAUAUUUCUGUUCUCUCCUGCACUAGCUGUUCAAACUGAGGAGGUUAAUUUAUUAUUUGUUCUGUUGCAGAGUUUGUGCUGUGAAUUUCAAUUUUACCCUUGUGGAAGGGUUUGUCCUAAUUUAUAUCAUAGUUUUUGUUUGUAUCCCUUUGUGUUCCUAAUUUCCAUUUUUCAAUCUUAAUUUGGAAUCUGUUGAUUCAUAUUCUCACUUCUCAGUACUCUGGUUGUUUGCUUUUCAGAGCACCUCAGUUUGAGCAGUGAAGGCAACAUGGAGUGUUAAGAGUUAGAAAGAAAUUUUCAUGAACCACUUUGAAGGGAAAGUUUUGGAUCUUUCAAUUUAUGUUGUGACGUUCAGGUCCAUAAGAUACCACAGCUUUUGGUGUUCUAUGAUUCACCGAAAUGAGUUAGUUGUUCGAUCCUUUUGAUUCUUAUCUUCCUAGUAAACAGGCUUCCUGAGCAAUAGGUGGAUUUACAUAUGAAUUUGAUUGUGCUAUUUUUCUCCCUUUAUCUACAGUGUUAAAUUAAAGAGUUGAAGAAUAAUUAACUAAUAUUUCCGUCACAGAAGUAAUUCUGUUUUGGGUGACAUUUUUGGCUGAGAGCAUUUCAUUUUGGUAUGCUAUUUAUUGUAUUAUUGUUAUCAAUUUAUGGACUGUUAGUAUCUUGAUUGCUUGUUUAUCAAGAAUGUGGCAUAUGGGAUGCACAUUUUUUUUUUGAUAAGGACUCGAACUUUUUGAUCUUGUUGGUAACAGCAGCACUGAAGGGAAAAUGCAAACAUGGAGCUGGGAGAGGGAGGGGUAAGGAAAUGCGGGUGGGGGGAAACGUGGAUGGUCUGAUACACCUCAUGCAUGGAGGCAUUAAGGGAGUUGGUGUUAUAUAGUAGAAUAGAUAAUGGGGUUAUUAUAGGCUAUGGAGGUAAGUAGAUUCUGGCUUUGGUUAUCCAUGAUGAUCCCCUUUUCUUAUAUUCAUAGGGUUUAAGCUAUCUGCUAGCUCGUAUUCAUCUUCAUGCAGUGCCAGUUCUUUAGGAGCCAAAGCAUAUGACAGGGAGGCUAUUUUGUUAAGUGGCUUUGUAGCUGACUAGCAGAUAUCUCUUGGUUCCAGAAUAUCAUUCAUUCCUAUUGAUCUAGUAAGCUGGUGAUCAUCUCUCAUUUCUUUGACCUGCUCCUUGGUUGUUAUAGGAUGUACACUCUAAUUGGAGCAUGAUAUGACCUUUCUCAUUUGCGUCAUUCUUAACCUUGAUUUAAGAAUCAGUUAUAGUUGUUUUCUCCUGAUUCUUAGUGUUCAUGUGAUAGGAUAACUUGUUAUUUCUGUUGUUGCUGAAAGGCUUGCGCAACAGGGAACAAUCUUUCUCGGGGGCAUCUUGAUCUCGGAGGCUAUAUGAAAGAUUGGAGUUUAAGGUUGUGAUUUUUUAUCAAGGGGGAAUGCUAUGUUUGUUAGUGGAGCUUGCUGUAAUUUUUUUUCCCUACACAAACUAUUCACAUGGAAGAUUAAUUUAGUAUUUCUGCUGUUGCAGAUGUGCUUAUAUUGUAGAUGCAAAUUUUCAAAGGCAGAAGAGCUGAGUUCAUCCUUAUAUCCUAGUCAUUGUUUAUGUGCAUUUGUGCACCUAAUAGUCAUCUUUUUCCAUUAUUGGCUUGUGUUCUCUUAAUGGAUCUGGUCCCUUGGUAGGUUUUGGAAAAUGCUGGAUUAUGAUUUGUAAUGGGCUUCUUUUUCUUCCCGUUGGAUUUGCGCUAUACUUUUUCUUUCCUUGAUAAUCAUGCUAUUAUAUUUUGUUGGCAGUGGUGUCUUAGAACCGAUAUAAGUUCUUCUAUUGAUAAGUGACUUAGUAGCUGCUUCACUUAAAUCUGGGUUUGUUUUUUCAUCCUUGUUCCAAUUACUCAAAUAUUUUUUUAUUAUUGGUAAUGGAGCACUCCAAGUGGAGCAGUGAUUUUUCAUGCAUUGUUGUGUAUGGGAAUUGAUAUAUAAUAUAUUCUGCUACUACUGAGUGACUUAGUAUCUGUUAGUCUAUUCUGUUCAUCGUUGUUCCUAAUGCUCAACUUUUGAAGGCACCCUGGGGAAUGGAAGGGGCUUAAUGGCUUAUGCCAUUUCAUUGUAUUUUAAUCAUCAUUUACAGACUGUUGGCUCCUUAAUUUCAUUAUCAGUAUCAAGAUUAUUGAUGGUUUUACUCUAUUGUUGCUUGCAAGCAGAUGUAGAUUUCUUGAAGAUUUUCUUUAUUAAGGUAUGUGACUUUCUUGAACAGUUGCUGCACUCUUUUUGAUUUGAAUGCUUAAUGUAGUCUGGGUGGAUUGGAGUAUGAUAUGCUUUUUCAUGGAGUUCCUCAACUUUGACUUAGAAUUAGUAAUAUUAAUUUUUCUCCUUACACCUAGAGUUCAUGUGAUAGGUUUUGUAUUUCCACUGUUGUAGAAGAUCUUGGGCAUCAUGGGAUAAUCUUGCUCAUGCGUAUCUUGAUAUGAUUAUUGAAAAGUUUGUUAUGCUAGCUUUUUCCUACUGUAGCUGUUCAUGUGGAAUCAUGAAAGUAAAUUUAUUAUUUGUUCUGUUGCAGAUGAGCUUGUCCUGUAGGACAGAGAGUUGCCCAUAUCGAAGAGUUUGUCCUUGUUUAUGUCAUACAAGUUGUUUAAUACCUUUAUGUUCCUGAUUACCUUUAUUUCGCUGGUUUUAUUCCUUAUGGUUAAUCUCUUAAUAAUUCUUUAUGUUCCUGUACCAUGUUUCUUAUCUAUGUUCCAAAAUCUUAUUAAACGUCAUUAGUUCCUGUUGCACCAGUGACCUAGUGACUUCUUCUCAUUUGUUUGACCAGCACUGAUGUUUUAAAUACUGGUGAGACUGUGGGGACCUUGAGUGCUUAAGACAGUCUGGGUGGAUUGGAGCAUGAUAUGUAUUUUUCGAGGGGGUUCCUCAACCUUGGAUUGUAGAAUUUGUUCUAUGCAUUUUUUCCCCUUUUAUGCUUAUAAAUUAUACUACAUGUCAUUGGCUAGUUUGCUAUUUCUGAUGUUGCAGAAGACCUUGUGCGACAUUGGACUAUCUUGCCUGAGGGCAUCUUGAUCUAAUGAUGGAAGACAGUUUGGAGGAAAAAUAUAUUAUAAUGAUAUGAUUUUUUACGAAAGCGGGUUUCUCAUCUUUGAUACUGAAGUUAUACAAUUUUCUCUUAUACUAGCUGUUCAAGGGGAAAUGUGUAUGUUAAUUUAUUCUUUGUGCUGUUCAUAUGUAGGUCAUGAAUUUGCUUCAAGGACUUGUCGUUGUUUAUGUCACCUUUUGUGUACAUAUCCUUAUGUUCCUAGUUGCCCUUUUUAACAUUAAUUUCUAAUGUCAUGUUUUGCUUCACCGGAAAUUUGAUUUGAUUAGUAAUGGCUGUGCAGAAAUUGGAAUUAAGAAAGGGUUUUCAUGAGGGGGUUCCUUUCUUCCACUAAUUGUUUAGGAGAUAAAGCAUGUUGGAAAUGGCGAGAUAUUAUGUUGACAAGUGGAUUCGCAGCUGAUGUGCUGUAUUUAGUUUUAGUUUCAUGUAUAUUCCAAAAUUUCAUUCAUUUUUAGUUUUAGUUUUAUAUUGAUAUGGACUGUUAGCUCUGUGAUUGCUUGUUUAUCAAUAUUGGAAUUAUUGGUAUGACAGCGAAUAAAAAAGUGCCGUUCAAUUUUAGGUAUUUUUGGGAAUUUUUAUUGAGGUAAUCUUUAAUAAUGGUUAUGAGUCCUAUUUUGAGAUUCCUAUCUUAGGUAUAUAUUGGGUUUGGAUAUUUUUUAUGUCCUUUAAUAUAGGGUCAUCUCAAACUUUUUCUUUUUGGAAAUUUUAGGAUUCGUUAUUUGCCUACGAAGAAUCCUAGUUCGUUUUGAAAGUAAGCCAUGUAAAGUCUACAAAAGGGUUUCUUAGGGUUGAGAAAGCAUUGAGUGUGAUUUCUUGCGAUUUGUCUUGAUUGAAUGAAAGGAUUUCUUUAGUUCAGGAUAGGCAUGUCUAAUCUCUCUUUCUUUCUGUAUCUCUUCUUCUUUUUCUCCUCCUCCUGUUAUUUAACUUUCUUUAUUUCCCGCUUUCCACUAUUCUAUCUUAUUUCUACUCCUAGUCUCAUCCAGUCAGUUGUUGGCACUGUAGAUUGAUUUCUGCAGGAUAUUAAAUUAGAUGGGCAGUGGAGUUAUUCUUUAAACUGUUUAUCCCCUUGCUGUCCUGCAUUGGGUUAGUAAUUCUCUCAUUUGUUUCACCUGGACCUUGAUUCGAUCAAAAUGGGCAGACCAGAGUGAAAUGGUUUUUCAUGCAUUGAUGUAUCUGGAAACUUUCUUAUGUUGGUAAGUGAACUAAGUAGCUGGUCUCAUAUGGGUCUUUCUUUCAUCUUUGUUCCGAUUUCCGACACUCAUUUUUGUUUUGGGUUGGUCUUUUAUUUAUUCUCUUAUUUGCCUCCAUCUGUACGAGUUCUAUAAGUGUUAAAGUAUAUUGGGAAUGGAAUGGAUGCCGUGUCAAUAAGUGGAUUUGUAGCUGAUAUUCUGUAUUGAGUUUGUUUCUGUUGCAUUCAAAAAUCUCAGUUAUUCCUGUUGGACUUCUCAUUUCUUAGAUGAGUACCUUGAUCACUCAAACAGCAUAGAUGAAUUGAGUUUUUUUUUUUUUGGGUGCGCAUGAAUGGGUUUCAUCAACAUGAACUGUAGGAUUGGUUAUACUAGUUUUUCCUGAAAGUGGCGUUCGUCUGAUAUGUUAACUGUGAUUUCUGUCGUUGAAUGAGAGCUUGUGCACCAGGGGAUGAUCUUGCGUGAGGGUAUAUCCUGAUCCAGGAAUUGAGGACCUUAUGGAGAACGGGAGUUCAGUGAUUUGAUUUUUCUGAUCCUCAUGUUUGAUGGUGAAGUAUGUUAUGCUAAUUUUUCCUUGCACUAACUGUUAAAAGAUCAAUUUACUAUUUCUGCUGUUUCAGACAUGCUUGUGUUUGUAUGGCUUAAUCUUCCAAAGGUGGAAGAGUCUGUCCUUGUGGUUAUUGUUUAUAUAUGUUUAUGUUUUUGAUUGCCUUUCCUCCAGCUUCAGUGCAAAGUCUGAAUCAUCUCUCUGUUCUCAGCUUUUUGGAUUUCUUACUGUUUGUGAACCUCGGUUCAAUGGACUUCAUUUUCUCUCAGGAUAUAUAUUGGCUAUUAUGUUUUUUUUUCGGUAUGAUGAUGAUUCCUUGCUUUUGAUAGUUGGAUACUUGGAUUGUUCAUACGAUUUUUUUUUCAUGCUAGUGCUUUUAUUUGAACGGUUAAAUUCUUUUACUAUUUGUGUUGUUGCCAAAGAGAUUGCGUUUUAGGGGACAGUCUGCCUGGAGGGGCUUACAGACUUGUGACAUCCGUUAUACUAUUACGUACAGACGUUUAGCUUCUUUUACACUGGUUUGUCGUGUUGGUUUUCAGUUGGUUGAUAGGUUUGGUAUACGGCAGGGUGCCAAUGUAGGUAACGUCUCAAUUUGCAUAUCGUCGAUGAGCUUUCUUCUUUUCAUUUAGUCGUCUGCAUUAUUGGUGGUGUGAAAAUUCUAAUCGACAUGUGUACUUUCUUGGGCCUAUGCUUUUUCAUGGUCCUUAUUGCUGAUGUGUUCCUGUGUCCGACUGCAUGGUAGAGAGCCGGUGGAGCUACGGAAAAUAGUGUGACAACCGGUCCUGUUUGUGAGAAUGUUUUAUUUUCACUACAAUUGCGCUGCUAGAAAAGGUGAGAAAUGGUGUGAGGAUUCUCCUGAUAGAGUUUUCUCAUAUUGAACGGUUGAGGCAAAGUUCAUGUUAUGUUUUUUUUUUCAUGAAUCGUUGGUUGGAUCGACCAUUUUUUUUUCCGUCUCCUUCCUAUUUAAGUUGGCGUUCCUUUGCCUGAGUUGUCUGGAUUUAUUGGAGAUAGAAGACAGCGGUUGCUUUUCUUCUGCAGUCGGUGUCAGAUUGUUUAGUCCCUCUUCAUUCUUUUUGUCCUCAGUAGGUUAAUUGUGGGUACUUUGUCACGGACCUUAAAAAGAACGUCUAACUUCGGCGUCAUCCUGCUUUAUGCGUGCUGUUUCAAUAUUUUUUAUAGCUACU
RNAcentral lists this long non-coding RNA (7966 nucleotides) under Elaeis guineensis (African oil palm). RNAcentral's name for it is "long non-coding RNA (EGUI_LNC013247)". Lineage: Eukaryota; Viridiplantae; Streptophyta; Magnoliopsida; Arecales; Arecaceae. The record is from RNAcentral.